RNAcentral lists this long non-coding RNA (1020 nucleotides) under Anser cygnoides (Swan goose). Its description in RNAcentral is "lncRNA (ENSACDG00005018204.1)". The record is from RNAcentral. Lineage: Eukaryota; Metazoa; Chordata; Aves; Anseriformes; Anatidae.
AUGGUUCUGGGGCAGAGCCCGACUCCUCCUCGCCCUGCUGCGGGCAGGGAGCAGCCUGGGGCACCCAGCUUGCAUCAGCACCCUUGGGACGAGGCCGGGCGUGAGGCUGACGGGUGCCUGGUGCUGAAGGCUCACCUUGUCCCCAGCCCUGCGGCCGGGGCAGCUCCUGGUGCUGGAGGCAGAGGCCAGCAGGGAGCAGCCGCUGCCCCGGCAGCCCCCUGGGCUUUCGGGGGAGGCCGGGGCCGUGCAGGCACCCUGGUUUCCAGCAUGGGCUGCCCCCGGUUCCUCCUCGCUGCAGGGGGUGCUGAGCUGGAGGAACUGGGGCGCAGGGGAGGGGUGGGAGCACCCCGAGCCUGCCCCAGGCUUCGCUCUGGAGCUGUGCGGCCAGCACCCUGGGCUCGCAUCGCUGGAGGAUGCAUGCGCAAAAAUAAUAAAGGGAAGGCGCUGCCUCGGUUUGCUGGGGUCGUGGCACAGUUCGCAGGCUCUGCUCUGCACUUAGGGCCAGGCUGGCUGUGGGCUGAAGGAAGGUGGUGGGGAGGGAAGAAAACCAUCCCCAGCUGCCCCCAGGCCAGCCUGGGGCGCAGAGCUUCCCAGCUGGGUGCACUGGGGAGGGGAGGGCUGAGCAGAGCAGGGCUGGGAGCUGCCAGCACCCUCCCACAGCCCCCCCCGGCACACACACAGCCCCGUGCCACCGGCUGCGGCCGCAGAACAAGCAGAGCAGGGACACCCCAGGCAGGAUUCAGUGUCCCUGAAGCCCGGUACUACCGCAGGGAACUCCUGAAACGUAGGAAACCAAAGAGCAGUUCCAGUGCAGCUGUGUCUCGGUCCCGAGCCGCCUGCCCGCUGUGCACCGCCGCUGUCCUCACCUCCCUGCCUGGGCUUGGCACCUCGGGGAGGAGCUGCCCCAAGCCUCCUGCCAGCCCAAUCCCACAGCUGCCGCCUCUUCCCCGGGUCCCCUCCACGCAGGGAAGGCUGCGAGGCCGCAGCUGCUGCUCCUGCCUGCCUGCCGCCUUCGGCUGA